GGCCUCCUGUUGUUUACCACAGGCUGUGUUCUUACACUGACUGUAUAGAAAAAGGAGGCAGAGCAAAUCUACCCUAUAUACACCUCAAUCCAGGCAUGGGGAGACAUGG
Molecule: small nucleolar RNA, 109 nt
Filed under: Carlito syrichta (Philippine tarsier)
Lineage: Eukaryota; Metazoa; Chordata; Mammalia; Primates; Tarsiidae
Description: Small nucleolar RNA SNORA51 (ENSTSYG00000021931.2)
Rfam family: Small nucleolar RNA SNORA51
About the family: ACA51 is a member of the H/ACA class of snoRNA that guide the sites of modification of uridines to pseudouridines.
Source: Rfam by way of RNAcentral